UGGCUUACUUCAUUUAUUUAUGUAUGCUUCACAGCUGCAGCAUUCAUACAUGAACAUUCAAAACUUUAUAAAAGAUUAAAAUGGUUAUAUAUACAAAAUUUCUUUCUUUGAAUGUGUGUUGUUUUAACAAACCCCCUCCCUCCAGAACCCCAGGUCUAUAUCCAUUUGAAAUGUGUUGAUCUGUAAUCUUGCAAGUUAGUGUUAAGAAAGCCAUUAAAAAGGAGACCCAGUUGAGUUAAUAAUUAGCACUUUGACCCCUAGAAAAUGCUCCUGGUCAUAGAAAAGUCCUCCAUUCAGGCCUUUCUUGUAAGUGAAAAAAAAAGGAACGCAGCCAAACUACAAAAAGCAGCCGAACCAAUGAUUAAAGACCUCUAAGGCUCCGUAAUCAUCAUUAAAUAUGCUUGAACUCAGUGACUUUUUAUUUUAUAUACAGGAUUAAAAUCAACAUUAAAUCAUCUUAUUUACAUUGCCAUUGGUGCUGAAAUGGAGCUUUUUAAAUAGUACAGUAGGCUGGUAUACAUUAUAAAAUGGUCUGCACUGGAGGCAAAUA
Molecule: long non-coding RNA, 550 nt
Filed under: Bos taurus (domestic cattle)
Lineage: Eukaryota; Metazoa; Chordata; Mammalia; Artiodactyla; Bovidae
Description: long non-coding RNA NONBTAT023681
Source: RNAcentral